RNAcentral lists this ribosomal RNA (475 nucleotides) under uncultured bacterium. RNAcentral describes it as "bacterial SSU rRNA". It matches the Rfam family "Bacterial small subunit ribosomal RNA", at positions 335 to 801 of the family's 1533-position model. The record is from RNAcentral.
ACUCCUACGGGGAGGCAGCAGUAGGGAAUCUUCCACAAUGGGCGCAAGCCUGAUGGAGCAACACCGCGUGAGUGAAGAAGGGUUUCGGCUCGUAAAGCUCUGUUGUUAAAGAAGAACACGUAUGAGAGUAACUGUUCAUACGUUGACGGUAUUUAACCAGAAAGUCACGGCUAACUACGUGCCAGCAGCCGCGGUAAUACGUAGGUGGCAAGCGUUAUCCGGAUUUAUUGGGCGUAAAGAGAGUGCAGGCGGUUUUCUAAGUCUGAUGUGAAAGCCUUCGGGCUUAACCGGAGAAGUGCAUCGGAAACUGGAUAACUUGAGUGCAGAAGAGGGUAGUGGAACUCCAUGUGUAGCGGUGGAAUGCGUAGAUAUAUGGAAGAACACCAGUGGCGAAGGCGGCUACCUGGUCUGCAACUGACGCUGAGACUCAAAAGCAUGGGUAGCGAACAGGAUUAGAUACCCUGGUAGGAUAGCG